GAUGAACGCUGGCGGCGUGCCUAAUACAUGCAAGUCGAGCGAACGGACGAGAAGCUUGCUUCUCUGAUGUUAGCGGCGGAUGGGUGAGUAACACGUGGAUAACCUACCUAUAAGACUGGGAUAACUUCGGGAAACCGGAGCUAAUACCGGAUAAUAUUUUGAACCGCAUGGUUCAAAAGUGAAAGACGGUCUUGCUGUCACUUAUAGAUGGAUCCGCGCUGCAUUAGCUAGUUGGUAAGGUAACGGCUUACCAAGGCAACGAUGCAUAGCCGACCUGAGAGGGUGAUCGGCCACACUGGAACUGAGACACGGUCCAGACUCCUACGGGAGGCAGCAGUAGGGAAUCUUCCGCAAUGGGCGAAAGCCUGACGGAGCAACGCCGCGUGAGUGAUGAAGGUCUUCGGAUCGUAAAACUCUGUUAUUAGGGAAGAACAUAUGUGUAAGUAACUGUGCACAUCUUGACNGUACCUAAUCAGAAAGCCACGGCUAACUACGUGCCAGCAGCCGCGGUAAUACGUAGGUGGGCAGCGUUAUCCGGAAUUUAUGGGCGUNAAGCGCGCGUAGGCGGUUUUUUAGUCUGAUGUGAAAGCCCACGGCUCAACCGUGGAGGGUCAUUGGAAACUGGAAAACUUGAGUGCAGAAGAGGAAAGUGGAAUUCCAUGUGUAGCGGUGAAAUGCGCAGAGAUAUGGAGGAACACCAGUGGCGAAGGCGACUUUCUGGUCUGUAACUGACGCUGAUGUGCGAAAGCGUGGGGAUCAAACAGGAUUAGAUACCCUGGUAGUCCACGCCGUAAACGAUGAGUGCUAAGUGUUAGGGGGUUUCCGCCCCUUAGUGCUGCAGCUAACGCAUUAAGCACUCCGCCUGGGGAGUACGACCGCAAGGUUGAAACUCAAAGGAAUUGACGGGGACCCGCACAAGCGGUGGAGCAUGUGGUUUAAUUCGAAGCAACGCGAAGAACCUUACCAAAUCUUGACAUCCUUUGACAACUCUAGAGAUAGAGCCUUCCCCUUCGGGGGACAAAGUGACAGGUGGUGCAUGGUUGUCGUCAGCUCGUGUCGUGAGAUGUUGGGUUAAGUCCCGCAACGAGCGCAACCCUUAAGCUUAGUUGCCAUCAUUAAGUUGGGCACUCUAAGUUGACUGCCGGUGACAAACCGGAGGAAGGUGGGGAUGACGUCAAAUCAUCAUGCCCCUUAUGAUUUGGGCUACACACGUGCUACAAUGGACAAUACAAAGGGCAGCGAAACCGCGAGGUCAAGCAAAUCCCAUAAAGUUGUUCUCAGUUCGGAUUGUAGUCUGCAACUCGACUACAUGAAGCUGGAAUCGCUAGUAAUCGUAGAUCAGCAUGCUACGGUGAAUACGUUCCCGGGUCU
This 1371-nucleotide ribosomal RNA is filed under the name uncultured bacterium. RNAcentral describes it as "bacterial SSU rRNA". It matches the Rfam family "Bacterial small subunit ribosomal RNA", at positions 28 to 1381 of the family's 1533-position model. The record is from RNAcentral.